Long non-coding RNA from Gallus gallus (chicken), 481 nucleotides. RefSeq lists it as uncharacterized. NCBI's taxonomy places the organism in Eukaryota, Metazoa, Chordata, Aves, Galliformes, Phasianidae. The record is from RefSeq and is a predicted model, not a curated record. The transcript is spliced from 3 exons.
GGAGCCUGGCUGCACCUCUCUUAGACCUUAUUGAAGAGCCGACUGCUGCUGGGGAAGGAUAUUAUUAUUGUUAUUAUUAUUAUUAUUAUUAUUUUAAGAUCUCUCUUUGGUGAAGUUUUCUCCUGUGAGCCUGGAAUCUUCUGAUAUGGGCUUACCUUCCACCAUCAUAACAGAUCCUCUCUGCAAUCAACACUUGACCAGAACAUCUUGCUGUGUCCUGUUUUUGGAAUUUUACUGUUGGUCCAACUAACUUGACAUGCACAUAUGGCAAUGCUGAGUCACAGCCUGAAGCAGUGAUUGAGCACCUGGUGGUAAGGCAGAGCCAACCCAGGGGAGCUCAGGUGCAUGCAGUGCAGUGCACCUGAGUGUCUGGAAGAAGUAGAGCCAGGAUCCACCCCUUCCCAGACCUCACUUAAGGGUUGGCAGCGGAGAUGAGGGCAUCUCUUGCUGGAGAUUCCUGCCUACCUGAGGCCUUAGAAAG